ACAUACUACCAACGGCGGCGCAAGUGUAAGCCUCUUGGAACAGAGCGUCUACCUGGGUGAGAAUCCUGUGUUUCGCUUGAUGCCCGCCGUGCACGGUACUUGCUCUUAGAGUCACGCUCCUCGGAAUUGGAGCGUAAAUUGGGUGGUAAAUUUCAUCUAAAGCUAAAUAUAGGCUCGAGACCGAUAGCAAACAAGUACCAUGAGGGAAAGAUGAAAAGGACUUUGAAAAGAGAGUUAAAAGUGCUUGAAAUCGCUGAACUGGAAGCGAAUGGAACUAGUGCUCUAGUUGAGAUUGCUGCAGGUGGCUGCAACAUCUGGGCUCUGGAACGCAAGUCCUUUGUCUGGUUUGGAGUAGUUGCU
Molecule: ribosomal RNA, 360 nt
Filed under: Symbiodinium sp. Lp13cult
Lineage: Eukaryota; Dinophyceae; Suessiales; Symbiodiniaceae
Description: LSU rRNA
Rfam family: Eukaryotic large subunit ribosomal RNA
Source: RNAcentral